UUGGAGAGUUUGAUCCUGGCUCAGGAUGAACGCUGGCGGCGUGCCUAAUACAUGCAAGUCGAGCGAACAGAUAAGGAGCUUGCUCCUUUGACGUUAGCGGCGGACGGGUGAGUAACACGUGGGUAACCUACCUAUAAGACUGGAAUAACUCCGGGAAACCGGGGCUAAUGCCGGAUAACAUUUAGAACCGCAUGGUUCUAAAGUGAAAGAUGGUUUUGCUAUCACUUAUAGAUGGACCCGCGCCGUAUUAGCUAGUUGGUAAGGUAACGGCUUACCAAGGCAACGAUACGUAGCCGACCUGAGAGGGUGAUCGGCCACACUGGAACUGAGACACGGUCCAGACUCCUACGGGAGGCAGCAGUAGGGAAUCUUCCGCAAUGGGCGAAAGCCUGACGGAGCAACGCCGCGUGAGUGAUGAAGGUCUUCGGAUCGUAAAACUCUGUUAUUAGGGAAGAACAAAUGUGUAAGUAACUGUGCACGUCUUGACGGUACCUAAUCAGAAAGCCACGGCUAACUACGUGCCAGCAGCCAGCGGUAAU
RNAcentral lists this ribosomal RNA (539 nucleotides) under Staphylococcus sp. Its description in RNAcentral is "bacterial SSU rRNA". It matches the Rfam family "Bacterial small subunit ribosomal RNA", at positions 1 to 524 of the family's 1533-position model. Lineage: Bacteria; Bacillati; Bacillota; Bacilli; Caryophanales; Staphylococcaceae. The record is from RNAcentral.